CAAGAAAAGAUGAAAUUAUUAAAUAUAACGCAAUAUAUUUAUGAUAUUAUAUAUUUGUUUAUCAAAGUUAAAUCAUGAAAAUCACUGAAGGUAAUAUAUAAGUGUGCUAUAAUAUAGUCAUAUAUAUAUAUAGAUAGUCUUUCCCUUUUCGGUAUUUGGAUAGUUAAUAUGUAGAGAUCAAGGUGCACCAUUGAUUUCGCCAUCACCGAUGAUCACAGAGCCAUCAGUGUUAAUUUUGGUUCCACCACCAACUGAGACAUUAGGAGCAAUGGUGCUAUUACUUCCAACCACACCACCACCACCACCGGCAAUUCCACCACCACCACCGACUGUGGCAUUACCAGUUGCGGUACCACCACCACCUCCUGUCAUUUUGGCUUGUGCAAAAUUAUUUACCAACAAUGCAAAUGCAAACAAAAACACUGAAAAAAGCAGAACACGUUGAGAGCUUGAAUUUGCCAUGUGUUCAGAAAGUAUGAAAGAGUUUGGCAAAUUGAUUAAUGAUCGAAUUGGAAGGUGAAGCCAUCCAUUGUCCAUUCUUGUUAUUAUAUAGGUAAUGUGUUACCCAUUGUUAUAGGGAAUUUUGUUUAAUGUCUGUGCGACUUUUAAUUAGUUAGUUUACCCAAUGUCGCCGGUAAGUAGCUAUCGAUCAUAUCAAUUGUGUUUAAAUAAAAAGCUCCUAAGUAUUAAACAUCGAUCUAUACUAUAAAGCAAUCCUCUUCAUUGAAUUUUUUCAAAAAAGACAUUAAAUUAAUUGUCUCAUAAAAACUCAUAGAGGGAGUCCCCUUCCUAGUCUUCUUCUUGGCCUUGCGGACCAUUAAGAAACUUCUCGUUGGAUUCUUGAGCUUGUUAUUCGAUUUCCUUGCCAUGUUACUUAAAUGAGUGCUAUGUUCCCUUGUCAUAUUACAAUAGUGAGAUAUAUUAUUUAUACCACUUUCUUUGGGGUCUGGAGCUAUCCCUAAUGGGUCGGAAACUUGGUCCAUAAACCAGAUCGGUUUACAAACCAAUCUCAGGGAAACAAUAUUUGGCGAAGGGCCCAUGAUGCCUUUUUGGGUCAUGGGCUCAAGUCAACCCACGACCCAGUCCUGGGGAUGGGGUAUCAUAUCGAUCAAUACUCUCCUCCUUUUUCUUAAUAAAUAGGAGUUGUUUUCAUUGAAGUUUUGGUGAGAGCACUUUUUGAUCGACGUGGCACAGUGUCUUCACUAGAUAUUUUAGAAGAUCUCGUGUGUGAACUGUUGCACCAAAAAUCUACAUGGAUCUGAGUGUUUGAUCUAUAUAUAGAGGCUCACAGUUUAGACGCUACAGAGAGCCACCACCUGGACUCGUUGUUGAUGGGGGUUGAUCAGCCUAUGGUCCAACUGUUCCCUCUCGCUGUCGUGUCACCGUCAUCGGGCUUCACAUGUGGUGUCUGACCUUCUUGAUACUGACUUACGAUAUUUCCUUUGGGUCCUCUUUGGUCGUCCUAGGAAUAUGGUGGCCAACAACCAUCCCCUAGGGCUCCCUGUGGGGGAUGUACCUUGUAAUAAUUAUAAUUGAUUUUCUGAACUGCAGCUAGCUUUUGUUUUAAUUCCGAGUGUAGAUAAAAUAGUGUGUUUUCUUCUUGAUCUGUUCCUUUCCAUGUCUUCAUCGAUGUCUACAUCUGUUUUCUCUCUCGCCGAGGUCCUUAAGAGUAGCACUGAGGUGUCGACGACGGUGACUGCUUCUCUUGCAGGAUUGCCGACAACAAUUACGUACUACUGCUCCUGUGUCCUCAUCAACUCGGAGCAGCGUGGAUAUCCAAGGGACUGGUAUGUUUGACGAUAUGAUUUCACUUCUAUUUUCUUCGUCACCGAUGGCUACCUUUACCGUUCCGACACCCCCUCGGUGAGGUCUCUUAUGGAGGACCUGAUCUCAUCGUCGCCGAUAGGUGCCCUUAAAUCAGAUAAAACACAGAGAUUACUCGUCUAAAGGUUUUGGCAAUACCUUUUUGUAAAUCUUUCGAGGUUACAACGCUUACGAACCAGAGUCUUUACAGACGAACUCACACCUAAGAGUGAGAGGUUUUAUGGGUAAGCUAUUCACCUUAAAGUAUUCAAAGAAACUCUUAAAAACCUUUGUAAGUUUUUGAAGGCUACAAUCGCUUACGAACCUCUGUAACCUUCUCAAGACUAAAAUCGUUUACGAACCUCUAUAAUCUUUUCAAGACUAAAUCGCUUACGAACUUCUAAAAUUUUAUAGUAAACUUGCAACUAAGAAUUUUUCCGAUACCUCUAUAAAAUCAACCUUGAACUUUUUGGUUCAAUUCAAAAACCUUCCCUCACACAAGAAGGUGAUAAAGAAAUGGAAAUCUAAAAAUAAAUGUUAGUUCUUACUUACUUGGAGACUUAGAAGAUUAGAAGAAGAAAUGAGAGCCUUUUGAGCUUUAGAAAACUUGAGAACUUGAGGAGUUUUGAAGAGGUUUGGAAAUUUGAGAGAUUUUGAAGGAUUUGAAAUCUCAAGUGAAAGAAUGAACUCUAGAAUGAUUUCACUCCAUAUCAUUAAUUGUGUAAUUAGGGAUAAUUACUCUUUAUUAUCAAAAUAUAAUAUGCAUUACAAUCUUGAUUCUACAGUUUUUGGUGGUGAGGAUUGAACAAGAGGUAUAGUCAGCGGCGAAUCCAGAAAUUUUUUCUCCAGGGGGUUAAUUUUAAAUCAUUUAACCAAAUAAAAAAAAAUUCAAACCAAUUGUUCUCGAGAUGCCAUAUUUUAGGUUAGGGUUAGGGUAAAUCUUUUUUAAUAUAUGUUACUAAAAUAUCAUUCAACCAGGCAUCAUCCAAACGAUUACGACAAUUUGAUUUCACAAGAUUCAUUGCUGAAAAAGAUAUUUUCACUGAAGGAGUCGCAACUGGUAAUGUGAGUGUUAAUUUUAACAAACGUAACAUCAAAAAACAUAGGAUAUCUUUUUUCUUCUAAAUUGAUUUUUAAUCUUCUUCAAUGCAAAUUCAUUUUGGCUUUGUUGAUAAGGUUUUUUUUGCAAAUAAUACCUUCUUAUUUGAUCUCGAUCAUUUGGAUGGUAGUCGAUCAUUUAUCUUCUUUCGCAAUCCCGGAUCAGAUGGUAAUUUACUUACAUCGAGUAGCUUUCUAGAUGGUUGCGGAUUAGAUGAUGAAGUUAAAAUUGGUUGAUUUAUUCUAAAUCUUUUGAUCACAAAUUUAUCCAUUGAUUAUCUAUGUAAAAAAAAGGAUUUAAAUUAAUAAUAAAUUUAACAAUAAGGAAUGAGGAUAAAAAAUACAUUUAUUAUUUUUCUUUGUAUGGAGUUAUGAAUGCGAACUCAUGUAAAUGGAGAAAAAAGUCAAAAAUUAAAUGAAUGGUGUAAAGAUGGAGGAGGAGGGAAAAACGAAACUUCUAAAUAUCUAGAUAUAGAUGGACAAAUAUGAAAAAUUAAGGUAAAUAUAGUAAUAAAUAAAUUAUUAAUAGAAUAAUGAUUUAUAAAUAAAAUAAAAUAUUAUUAUUAUAUUAUAUUAUAUUAUAUUAUAUUAUAAAAAUAAAAUAUAUUAUUAUAUUAAUAUAUUUUAAAUGGUGGAGACGACAUAUGAAAUCCCCCCCCCUUACAUUCGCCGCUGGGUAUAGUAGGUAACAAUGGUUGGUCUAAGCAUAAUUCUCGAGCACUUUCGUCAACAUUAAGAUCAGGAGAUUCCUUAUCAAUACUAAAUUCACCAAGAAUAUCAAAUGUUGGAGGAUCAAAUGAUUGAGUUAUCGAUUUCGUAGGUAAGAUAUCCUUACCUUCGUUCAAUGGAAAACUAUCUACGGAUUUAAACUGAUUAUAACUUUGGACGAUCAUAUAUAUCUAACCUAGUAACGGAAUCAUUUGAACAAAAUUCUACACUUGCACUUCCAGAAAGGGGUUGAAUGUCUUGGAAUCUCAAAUGCUCUCCAAAGAUGAAUUUAAUCUCGAAAUGUAUAUUGCAUUCAAUGAAUUGUAUUGUCAAUUACAACUCUAUAUAUAUAGGACUAACUAUCAGUUGCUAACCACUUAUCCUAAUUAACCCUAACUAAUAUUCUAUUUAACAAUCCUUCGCAAAUUCAAGCAUUUUUAUAUUAUGAAAAUCUUUGAGGAUGUAAACAAAUGUGAGAAUUUGUCUUGUAUUCAUAAGUUGAGAUGCCAUGCUUAUAUUUAGUUAGUUAAAUGUAGGGAAGAAAAACCCAGUAUAUACAUCAUCUUUACUAAUCUUCGGUAUCAGUAUACUGAUCCAGAUUAAUAAAGUUGAUGUAGGAGUUUUGAGCUCCAUCUUUUGUUGCGGUCUUUCCCGUCUUUUUCUGGGAAAACCCUUUAUCAUCCUACCUAAACAUAGCUCUUUCCCUAACAUUUGUGACCAGAUCAUCCUUUAUCUCCUUGCUUGACCUGAAAAAAGUGUCUAAUAGUAUACUGUCUAACAAGCGAUCAGAUUAAACAUUAAUCCCAAUAACAAGCAUGAAGAAAGCAAAUAACAAUGAAAAAGAAAAGAGAGAGAGAGAGAAAAAAAAAACAGGGAAAGAAAGAAAAAUACAUGUUUAUUUAAUAUUGAAGUUCAUCCUUAAUUUGCGACACAAGUCUAUAAAGAUCUCAUGUUUCACAGCUUUUGUGAACACAUCAGCAACUUGUUCGUUGCUGAACAUACAUGUUUUAGUUGUAUGUUUCCAUUUGAUACUAACUCUCUAAUGAAAUAAACAUUUGUUUCUAUAUGUUUUGAUUUCUGUCUAAUGACAGGAUUCGAAGCCAUGAAAAUGGCUGAACUAUUAUUACAAGCAAGCAUGGGUAUAGAAUCUAAUUUUAUUUUAAGAUCUCUGCAAAUAAAUAAACACCAUCUUACUUCAGUUGGCAAUUGUGCUAGCGCUCUAUAUUCAGAUUCUGCACUGGAUCUGGAUACAGUGUUUUGUUUCUUCGAGAUCCAUGUGACCAGAUUUCCUCCAACAAAGAUGCAAGCUCCAGUGAUUGAUUUUCUGGUGUUAGGAUCACCAGCAAAAUCUGCGUCACUAAAUCCAUAAAUUAUGUUAUUAUGUGGUUGUUUGAUAAAUCUCAGUCCAUGACUGAGUGUUCCUUUUAGAUACCUCAAUAUUCUUUUUGUUGCCAUUAAAUGACUUGUUCUCGGUUCUUGUAGAAAUUGCGCAACUUGGUUUGUUGCAUAUAUGAUGUCAGGUUUGGUCUGAGAAAGGUAUUGUAGCGAGCCCACCAUUGCUCUAUAGUUUGUGGGAUCUUUAACUAAUUAUCCAUCAUCUUUUAUUAAUUUCGAUCCUGGGGCUACCGGUUAUUUACAUAGUUUACAAUACAAUAUAUCAUAUCUUUUAAGCAUAUCUAAGGCAUAUCUGGUUUGGUUUACUCCAAUUGAUCCAUCUUUUUCAUAAGAUAUUUCCAUACCUAGAAAGAAUUUUAGGAGACUUAGAUCUCUACAUCUAAAUUCCUUGCAUAAUGUUUAUAUGAAACUCUCAACUUCUAUUAUAUUAUUUCCUGUGACGAUAAUGUCAUCUACAUAGACUAUUAGCCAAAUUAUAAUUCCAUUAGAGUUAAAGACGAAUAGUGAUGAGUCUGCUAGACUAUUUUUGAACUCAUUUUCAAUUAGUAAUUUGCUUAGUCUUGAAUACCAAGCUUUUGGUGCUUGUUUUAUUCCAUAAAUUGCUUUAUUUAGUCUACAAAUCUCAUUUGAAGAUUCAUAUCUUGGUGGUUGCUUUAUGUGUACUAACUCUUUUAAUUCUCCUUGUAAGAAUGCAUUUUUCACAUCAAUUUGUCUUAAUUUGAAUCCUCUGGUUACAGCAAAAGAUAAGACAAUCCUUAGAGUUGAUGAUUUUACUACAGGGCUGUAUACCAGACUGUAGUCAACACCUUGUUGUUGUUUAUAACCUUGAGCCACCAACCUCGCUUUGUACCUCUCAAUUGACCCAUCAACUUUCCUUUUUAUUUUGAAAAUCCAUUUAGUGUCAAUUAUGUUCGUAUUUUUGACUGUGUUUGGUUUGACUAAGUCCCAAGUGUUGUUAUCGAUCAAUGCUUUAUAUUCAUCAUCCAUAGCUUGUUUCUAGUGAGCUAUUAAUAGUGCUUCUUUGUAAUUUUUGGGAACUACUUCUUUGGUGUUUAAUGUUUCUGCUAUGAGUGCUUUGGGUAGAUCUACUUCAUAAAUGUUCAGCUUACUUGGAAAAUUUCUAGCUCCGUGACUUUUCCUGAAUUCAGUUGUGUGAUGGUUGAAUUCUUGAGUAAGAAUUUGAGAUAUUUCUGACGUCAAAUUUUAUGGUAUUUGUGACGUUUCAGAAUUUGUUCUCUGGGUUUGUUGGUUUAUGGAAGAUUUAUCUUCUGAGAUGAUAAUGUUUUCUAUCCUAUUAAGAGAACCAUUAUUUGUAAUGGUUCUAUCAUCAGAGGUUGUAUUAUCCGAGUUUGUUCUUUCAGAGGAUAAAUUGGUGUAAUCCUCUCGAUGUCUAACUUCUGGGUUUACAUUUGUAGGUCUAAUAACCGUUUCAAAAUGAUUUCUGUAAUGGAAUUAUCACGUUUUUCAUAGUGUUCAUCCUAUCAUUAUUCACUUUGAAUUUAUAAUCCUUAAAAGGAUAAACAUUCUCAUGAAAUUUCACAUGUCUUGAAAUUUGGAUUGAGAGGUUAUCUAAUUUUAAACAUUUAUAUGCCUUGUGUGAGGGGGAAUAUCCAAGACAACAUCAUAUAGAAGUUGUAUGAUCAAAUUUAUUUCUUUUAUUUUUGGAAACAAGAGGGAAACACAAUGAUCCGAAAACCUUAAAAUAGUUUAUAUCUGGUUUUCUAUUGUAAAAAAUUUCGAAUGAUGAAAUUCCAUUUGUUGUCUUAGACGAUAUUCUAUUUAUUGUAUAUACUAUCGUUUGACAUGCUUCUACCCAAUAUUUUUUGGGUACCUCAGAUUCAGAUAAAAAACACCUUGUUGUGCUGAUUAUGUGGCCAUGUUUCCUUUCUACUAGCCCAUUUUGCUCUGGUGUGUAGGGAGAAGAAAAUCUUUGCUGAAUUUUUGAUUAAGGAAUUCUCCUCCUGAAUCAGAUUGUAGAAUUUUAAUUUUAUGAUUUAGAAAUUUCUCAAUCAUUUUAUGAAAAUCACAGAAAACUUAAAAUACUUCAUUUUUCUGAGAUAGGGGAAAGAACCAAGAAAAUCUAGAGAAUUCAUCUACAAUUAAAAGAUAAUAUUUAUAUCCUUUUAUUGACGAAUUUGGGACUGACCCCAUUAGGGUACACUCAAUAUAUUCUUGAAUAUUGUUUUUACAUUUAAUAUUUGUUGAUCUAAGUAUUUUAUUUAAAAUUUGAUUUGAUGGAUGACCACAGCGUCGAUGCCAUACUUUAGGGUUACACGCCAGAAAUGUUGACAUCUUACUAGCACCUUCUUUAUUCAGGUGAUAUAAUCCGUCUGAGCUAUUGCCAUUGAAAAGUUUCUUCCCUUUCUGAGCAUCAAAAACAGUGAAACCAUUCUUAUUUAGCAUAAUAUAACAGUUUAAUGUUCUUGUUAACGCAUGUGAUGAUAAGAGAUUUCUUUUUAAUUUAGGAACACAAAGUGUGUUCUUUAAUAACAAUGUACCAUAGAGUGUUUUUAGCACCACUGUCCCGACGUGUGUAAUGGGCAAUCCUAACCCAUUACCAACAAUUAUAGCUUGUUUACCUGUGUAUGCUUGUGUAUCAGUCAUGUUGUUGAUAUCCGAUGUCAUAAGGUUUGUCGCAUCAGAGUCUAAUAACCAGUUUCCUUCAUAAUCUUCUUCUUCAUUUACGGUAGCAGCAAAUGCUUGAAAACCACUUCUACAGGUUUUGGCCGAGUGACCUGAUUUAUCACAUAACUGACAUACAACUUUAAUUUCAUUUACCUUGCUAGAAGAUUGGGCGGAUUUAUUUCCUUGCCAUUUUUGACCUCUGCCCCAAUUUCUCCCAGCACGACCUCCUCGAUUACUACAACCUCGGCCACGAUUCCAAUUUUUAGUGUAUGCUGCAAACACCGAUGGUGUGGAUCCAAUACCUUGAUAUCUCUUGAGAUAUAAAUCUUCCUGGAUAAUCAGAUGAAAGAAGUCGUCAAAGGAAAUAUUUGGGUUAGUAUGUAUCCCGAAGAUGAAAGGAUGAAACUCUGGCCCUACCCCUUCAGCUACGAACUCAAUAAUAUCUAAAUCCGUAACUCUAUCACCAGUUGAUGCUAGAGAAUCAAUAAGCGCGCGGACCUGGAUCAGAUAUUCUUUCAUUGUCAUGUCAUCAGUUUUCUUUAAAUUUCGCAAUUGAUCCCGAAUGCUUUGGGAGUGAAUGGACUUUCCAGGUGACAGGUUUGUCUCCAGUGCGAGCCAACAAUCACUUGCUUUUUCAUGAUUCAUAACCAGUGAAUGCAUCGGAGGUCCAACAGAUGCUUGUAUCCAGCCGAGGACCACCAAGUUCUUUUCUUGCCAUUCUUUAAAUCUUGGAUUCGUCGAUUCAUCAUCCAAUUUUUCAUUUGGUAUGAUUUGAUCUUUCUUCACAAAGUCAGUCAGCCGAUGUAGACAUAACAGAUUUUCAAAUUGGGCGCGUCAGAACAGGUAGAUUUUUGGGCGUUCCAAUUGUUUGAGGAUCCAGUUUGUAACUUGAAACUUGUAUAACGAGUCUGUUGAUGACGUACUCAUCUUGGCCGAGUCGACGAAACACAAUCUGUAAAAUUUAUAUAUGAUCUAUGAAUUUAUACAUAUCAGAGAUCCGUAAGAAAUACGAUCGAGAUACGAUCGUAACUCGAUCGCAAAAAAAAACUUAUGUAUAAAAUCCGUAAUUACUUAACGUAAUUUUACGGAUUUAGUGUAAGAUUUACAAUGAAUUUCACGAAAUAUGUGAAAUUUACACAAUAUAUGAUACAACAAAAUAUGUGAUAUCAAAAUUUGCAAAUAAAAAACCAAAGUGAAAAUUUGCAAAUUUGCGUGACACAAAACUUCAAUAAAAUGAAAUUCGUAGUAUCAACAAAUAAAAAAAAUCCAGAAAUUAAAAUUUCAAGAUAUAUAUUUUUUUUUAUAUAUGAAAAAGAACAGAAAAUUCCAGAAAGAAAAAAAAUUCCAGGAAAUUGAAAAAAAACUUUUUUUUUCUUUUCUUCUUCUUUCAAAAUAACAAAAAAAACAAAACAAUUCAGAAACUGACAAAAAAAAAUUUGGGUGAAAAAAUUUCUCUAAAAUAAAGCAAAAUUAAAAUUUCAGAAACUUUUUUUUUUAAUAAAAAAAAAUAUUCCAGAAACUAAAAUUGAGAAGAAAAAAAAUUCAGAAAACUUGUUAAAAUCAAUCAAAUGAAAAACAGAUUGAUAAAAUUGUAAAAAAAAUUAAAAUAAAAACAUAGUCGAUAGAAUUUGAAACAAAAUUGAUUAAAAUCAAUGAAAUCAAGAAAAAAAUCGUUGAUGAUCAAUGGAGAAAAAAAAUUAUAUGGAAAAUAAAUAAAUUGCAAACCACAAUUGCUCCACACCCUCCAUGAAUGCUCCUUGGAAAUCCACAAUCCGAUCUGCAAAUCACGUCACUGGAAAUUGAUCCCAAAUCUGCAGCACUCGUCAUUUGCAAAUUAAUUUGGAGAACUGUAAAUCCCAAAUCGCAUCUUCCGUCGUCAAUAAAACGGAAAUCAGAAAUUAGUAGAAAUCGAGCAACAGUGUCAGAAAAUUGCGUCGGGAUCAAUUGAUCUGAAAUCGUUCUAUAUUCUAGCAGAAAUCAAUUGAUCUGAAAAUCCCGUCUUCUAGCAGAAAUCGCGGCUUCCGUAUUCUGGAAUCGGAAGAAACCGCCGGAAAGAGAAAACGCGUCGUCGCCGGAAAGAGAAAUCACGCCAUUACUAACGUUAUCAUUUUUAUUGUUUUCUAAUGUAUAUAAAUAUGAAAUUAUUUAGUUGAACACUUAACACAUAAAACCAGAAUUAUCAUAAUAAUAUAUAUUUCUUUUAUCGAAAUUACAUCAUGAAAAUCAGUGAAGGUAAAAUGAAAUAUCGAUCCAUAUAUUUUGCCAUACAUAAUAUAUAAGUUUGCUAUGAUAUUAUUAGGUUUUUUUUGGUUUAGAUUCUGUGAUAGACCCAUUGCCGAUGAUCACAGAUCCAACAGCGUUAAGAGCGGAUCCACCACCAACAUCAGAACUAGAUCCAACUUUGCUGUUAUCUCCAACCACACCACCACCUCCACCGAGUAUGCCUCCACCACCACCAACCUUCCCAUGAUCAGUUGCAACACCACCACCGUCACCAUUGAUCCCAUUAUUAGUCACCUCAUCACUACUACCAAUUGACCCAUCAACCAUGGUAGCCUGUGCUAAAUUAUUUAGAAGCAAUGCAAAUGCAAACACAAACACUGAGAAAAGUAGAACACGUUGAGAGCUUGAAUCUGCCAUGUUUUAGAAUGUAUGAAAGAGGUUAGAAAAUUGAGUUUUGGAAGGUGUUUCUAUCUAUUGCCCAUUCUUGCUAUUAUAUAGGGAAUUUGCUACCCAUUGUUACAGAGAAUAGUAUUGAUGUCUGUGUGACUUUUAAUUAGUUGGUUUGCCUAGUGUGGCCGGUAAGUAGUUAUUGAUCAUAUUAUGUGAGUUUUGACAUUUUUUUAAGCAAUUCAAUUGCAAUUUAAGAUUAAAUAAAUAAAUUCUAAUGUCUAAUUCUCUAGAUUAGAAAAUUCAAAACCAACAUUAAAUUGAAAAUUAAGUGACAUAAAACCUCAUGUGUGACUUAGCAACUUAGUUUCUAUUGAUGCUUAUUUGGAACUCAAUUUGUCAAUAUUAUUUAAUACUAUACAAAGAAAAAUACUGAGCCUAACAAAACCUAGCUAGGUCAUAUUAUUCUUAAUUCACAAACCAUCAAUGUCAUGCUUUAAUUUGGGGAAAUUUGGAUUGAAAACAUACAAUAAGUUUAGCGAUCGUUUUCAUGUGUCAGAGUUUUUCACUACUUGACAUAUAAUCGGACAACUGCAAAUGCGGAAAUGGACUAAAUAUAUAGGUAAUAAUAGUCAGAUUCAGAUGAGAUAUGUAAUUGAUAAUACCCUCAGUCCAUUGGAGUGGCCCAAUAGGAAUAUCAACGGACCGGUUUGUGAAUGUUGCUACAAAUCGAGAAUCAUGUAGUGAUAGUUUACGUAGUCCUCCAUAAGUGAGUGAGAAAGGGGUUUCACCUGUGAUUUUUUAUUCUUGUAGUACGGUAUAUUCACAAGAUUUUAGGUAGCAAUUCUGUAAAUUUCUUUAUGCUUUUUCGACCUCUUUUUUAUCCCUUAGACUAUCAUUUUUCUGCUUUUCGACUCUUUUUUCAUCUCUUGGACUAUCGCCUUGUUUGUAACUUCGACCUGUCCAUUGUCUUGAGGUCGGUAUACUGAUACAAUGUGUACGUUGGUGUUAUAGCUCUUGAAUAUUAUGGUAAAACUUUCGUCAGUGAAUUGCGUUAUAUUAUCAGUGAUAAUUGUAGAAUCUAAAUUGUCGAUACAUUAGUAUAUUUUAAUCAUGUUAAUUUAAACUCUAAUUACAAUAUUAAUCUAUAGGGUGAAAUUAGUCAAGAUUAGACCUAACUCUAAUUAAUCAAUAAAUCAUUUGAGUCAAAGGUCUAAAUUAAAGUUAAAAUUGAAACAAUUGCAUUAUAUACCUUGAAUAUUAUUAUUAUUAUCUCUAACACUCUAUUCAAGGUAUAAUAUUCCAAAAGGAUAAAACAUUAUUCAUGAUGCAACUAUUCAAGGGGACAAAACACUAUUUGAUGAAUAGUAUUCCAUCACCUCAUUUAAAGCUAAAGGAAUAUCAUAAUGAGAAGAAGGUCUUCAAGACAAGUUAUGUGAGGAAUCAAAGAGUCAUCUAUUAAAGAUCCAAGGGUGGAGAAGUGAUGACCAAGUCUAUAAAUAGAGGGAAAUCCUCCCAUUUUCGUCCACCACACUCUAAGCAUUCUAAAGAGAUUCCACUCCGCAUUUAAGAUCUCCAAAGUGUUCAUAACUUCUAAGCUUUCAAGCUUCCAAAGUUUCUCAAGUGUUUUAGCUUUCAAAACAAAAACUUCAAAAGCUGUUCAACUUCUUUUAUUCCUCUUGUUCAUCUUAACAAGUAAGAAAUUUUGUGUGCUUAUUAUCCCACUCCUCUAAUCAUCUCUUGUGCGUGUCCACUUUGGUUGAGAGGUUUGUCUCAAUAUCACCAAAGUGUAAGAGAAGGUUUUUAAGCUCAACCAUAAAGUUCUAUGUUUGGGUUUAUAGAGUUUUUUGAAAAACUCUUAGGUUGAAUCUACCUUCAAAGAUUCUAAGGUUCUAGUCUACCCACAAAGGCUAGAAAGGUUUUUAAGAGUUUCCUUGCAUGAUACUCUAAGGUGUGAGUCUACCCGUAAAAGACCAGUUCUUAAGCGAGGUUAGCCUUAAAGUUUAGAGAGGUUUUAAGAGUUUUCUUGAUACUCUAAGGUUUUGUCAUAACCUUUAGCCUAGUGAACUCUGAUUUUAUCGGGAUUGGAUUAGCCCUUGUUUGGGUGAACCAGUAUAAAUCUUUUGUGUAGUUCGUUGUUAACUUUAUUUUUAUUUAUUAUCUAAAAACAACUAAACAAAAAUUAACUAAAAAGGAUCCCUCUUCCAGUUAUCUGGUCAAAGAAUAGAGGUUGACUACUUUUCGCAGAUCCCUCAUUCAGUUAUCUGGUCAAUUCUCUGAGGUUAAGUUUAUUACACAAAUCUCUAUCCAGUCAUCUGGUCAAACACUAUUCUUUCAAUUAUACAUCCAGUUAUCUGGUCAAGAAAAUUAACUUAUAUAUUAUUAUUGUUUUUCAAUCCGUGUUUUAUUAAGUGUUUACAGGUAAUCCAUCUUUUAACCUGUAUAAAUAAAAAAAAGGCUAUUAACCUCCCUUAUAGGCUCGGAUCACGAUCCAACGAGUGGUAUCAGAACCAAGUUCCGUUGAAGUCAGACUAACAUCUCACAACAACAACUAUGACACCAAAUGGUGAACACAGUAUUGGUCUUGCGUCGAACAAACCUCCCAUGCAUGUUCGAUGGAAUAAAGUAUGACUUCUGAGAAAACAAGAUGAAGUUAUACUUAAAGUCAAUCAACAAUGGAAUAUGGAAAAUCGUAUUGGAAGAUUAUGGAAUUCCAACAAGCAAAGAAGAAACUUAAGGAGAAAUGGAUAUCCUUAAGGAAAACAACAACUUCAGAGUAUUAAAUGCACUAUAUGGUGCACUUAAUGAAUCUGAGUAUAGCAGGAUUCGGUGUCUGCAUACAACACACAUGGUAUGGAAAGCAUUGGAAGAUUUGCAUGAAGAAACUUCCCAUGUUAAAGAAAACAAAUUGCUGCAUGCCACAUCUCAGUUCAGUGUUGUGUUGUUAUGUCUUGAAAGACUAAAAUAUUUUUUCCUAUCAAAGCCCAAUGGGCCUUGUGUUUGAAGGCCCAAUAAGUAAAAUAUUUUAUAAAUAACCUAUUAAGCUAGGAGGAUAAUUUAAAUUUAGAAUGGAGAAAAUAUACCUUUAAAGGAGUUUCAUUCCAUUUUAUAAACAAAUUUUUAUUCGACCUCAUAAAUCAUAAUCAAUUAUUCUAUUUUUCAUUUCUCUCUAUAGUCUAUAUGUUAAGGAAAUAUGUUCUAGUAAGUUAUUCUACUAUUAAGAAAAGAUGAAAUUGUUAAAUAUAACGCAAUAUAUUUAUGAUAUUAUAUAUUUGUUUAUCAAAGUUAAAUCAUGAAAAUCACUGAAGGUAAUAUAUAAGUGUGCUAUAAUAUUGUCAUAUAUAUAUAGAUAGUCUUUCCCUUUUCGGUAUUUGGAUAGUUAAUAUGUAGAGAUCAAGGUGCACCAUAAUUUAUUUUGCCAUCACCGAUAAUCACAGAGCCAUCAGUGUUAAUUUUGGCUGCACCACCAACUGAGACAUUAGGAGCAAUGGUGCUAUUACUUUCAACUACACCACCACCACCACCGACAAUUCCACCACCACCACCGACUAUGCCAUUACCAGUUGCUGUACCACCACCACCUCCUGACACGUUGGCUUUUACAAAAUUAUUUAGCAGCAAUGCAGACGUAAAUAAAAACACUGAGAAAAGCAGAACACGUUGAGAGCUUGAAUUUGCCAUGUGUUCAGAAGGUAUGAAAGAGUUUGGCAAAUUGACUAAUGAUCGAAUUGGAAGGUGAAGCCAUCCAUUGUCCAUUCUUGUUAUUAUAUAGGUAAUAUGUUACCCAUUGUUAUAGGGAAUUUUGUUUAAUGUUUGUGCGACUUUUAAUUAGUUGGUUUCCCUAAUGCCGCCGGUAAGUAGCUAUCGAUCAUAUCAAUUGUGUUUAAAUAAAGAACUCCUUAGUAUUAAAUCUCGAUCUAUACUAUAUAGCAAUCCCCGUCAUUGAAAUUUUUCAAAAAAGACUUAAAGAUAGUUAAGUUAAUUAUAGCUCAUAGAAGGGGUCUCCUUCCUAGUCUUCUUCCUGGCCUUGUUGACCAUUAAGAAGCUUCUCGUUGGAUUCUUAAGCAUGUUAUUCGAUUUUCUUGCCAUGUUAUUUAAAUGAGUGCUAUAUUCCCUUGCCAUAUUACAAUAAUGAGAUAUAUUAUUUAUACCACUUUCUUUGGGGUCUGGAGCUAUUCCUAAUGGGUCGAAAACUUGGUCCAUGAACCUGAUCGGUUUACAACCCAAUCUUAGGGAAACAAUAUUUGGCAGAGGGCCCAUGACGCCUUUUUGGGUCAUGGGCUCAAGUCAACUCACGACCCAGUCCUGGGGAUGUGGUAUCAUCGAUCAAUACUCUCUCCCUUUUUCUUAAUAAAUAGGAGUUGUUUUCAUCGAAGUUUUGGUGAGAGCACUUUUUGAUCGACGUGGCACAGUGUCUUCACUAGAUAUUUUAGAAGAUCUCGUGUGUGAACUGUUGCACCAACAAUAUUCUACUUGGUCUGAGUGCUUGAUCUAUAUAUAGAGGUUCACAGUUUAGAUGCUACAGAGAGCCACUGCCUGGACUCGUUGUCGAUGGGGAUGUCGACGUAGUGGUCAAUGGGGAUGUCGACGUAGUGGUCGAUCAGCCUAUGGUUUGACUGUUCCCUCUCGCCGUCGUGUCACCGUCAUCGGGCUUCAAAUGUGUUGUCUGACCUUUUUGGAUGAUAUUUCCUUUGGGUCCUGUUUUGUUAGCCUAGGGGGUGGCCAACAACCACCCUCUUAGGGCUCCCUGUGGGGGAUGUAUUAGAGUUGACAAAAUUAUAAUUGAAAUCCAAAUGAAUGAUUAAUUUCAUUAACCUCAAAAGAGGAUAUAGCAAGAGUAUUUAAAAGAGAAAUACAAACACUGAACUCUUUAACAUAAUAAAAUAUUUUUAACUAGACUAAUUACUUUCUAAUAAACCAAUCAAUGUUUAAACCAUUGUAGCAAUUGCUCUAAGUGAGUUCAAUUCCUAAUUAGUAGAGUAAUGAAUCUCAUAACACCACCUCUCAAAUUAGCAAUAGAGUGAACUGUAAUUGAUAAAACGUGAUUUUUAUAACAGCAACACUUUCGCUAGCUGUUGUGAGUUAGAUGCACUAAACAAUGAAUAAUUGAAAUCAUAUGAGGGGCAAAAAAUCAAUGGCUGUUUAUUUUGGAAAAUCCUCUUAUGAAAACAAGUACAAUAUUAUCUAAUAUCUACUCAGCUAGUCUUCUGAUCCGAGACUAUCCCUACUCAUCAAUCUGUAAAACAGAAACAACAAACAUAACAAGUAAGAUUAAGUGUGAUUUCACAUGGAUCAUACUUACCUGUUUUAGAGAGUAAAAAACAUAUUAGUGUUCCUGCAAAAACUAAUAAAAAGAUCAUGUGAAACUGCUUUAGUAAAAACAUCUGCAAUCUGUUUAGUAGAACAAAUAUGUUCUAAAUUUAAUAGCUUUUUAGAUAUUAGUUCCCUAGUAAAGUGAAUAUCUGUUUCAAUAUGUUUAGACCUUUGCUUAAUUACAGGAUUUUGUGUCAUAAAAAUGGUUGAUUUAUUGUCACAAUAAACCUUAGGUAUAGAGAUAAUGGGAUAGGAAAGGUCUGUGCAAAUAAAUGAGGACCAUCUCAUAUCAGUGGCUAAAUUAGCCAAUGCACUAUAUUCAACCUCGGCACUAGACCUAGAGACUGUGUUUUGUUUUUUAGAUGACCAUGUUACUAGAUUUCCUUCAAUAAAAAUGCAAAACCCUGUGGUAGAUUUCCUUGUGUCUGGAUCAUCAGCGAAAUCACUAUCACAAUUGCCAACUAUUUUGUUAUUCUCAUUAUUCUUUGUGAAGUAUAACCCAUGUUCUAGAGUGCCUUUAACAUAUCUUAGAAUUCUUUUGGCUGCUAUUAAAUGAGAAUCCCUUGAUUCUUGAACAUGUUGAGCAACCUGAUUAAUAGAAUAGGUAAGAUCUGCUCUUGUGUUAGAGAGAUAUUGGAGUGACCCAAUUAACACUCUAUAUGAGGUUGGAUCUUUAAGUAAGGAACCUUCAAGUUUCUUUAGUUUAGAUCCUAGUAAUACAGGAUUCUUACAUGGUUUGCAGUUAAGCAUAUUAUAUUUAUUUAAAAUAUCUAAAGCAUAUCUUGUUUGGUUCAUGAUGAUACUACCAUCUUGUUUAUGUAUUAAUUCCAUUCCUAAGAAAAACUUUAAUAAACCUAAAUCUCUACACUUAAAUUCUGUUAUUGCCUGUGAUGAUUAUGUUAUCAACGUAUACCACAAUCCAAAUUAGAAUGUUAUCCUUGUUAUAGACAAAUAAGGAUGAGUCAGCCAAACUAUUUUCAAACUCAUUUAGUAUUAAAAUAUUGCUUAGCCUUAAGUACCAUGACUUAGGUGCUUGCUUCAAACCGUAAAUGGCUUUAUUUAGUUUGCAGAUAUGAGAAGGUUUAGAUGGAUCUAUAUAACCUGACGCCUGAGAUAUGUGAAUUGUCUCAAGUAAAUUUCCUUGAUGAAAUGCAUUCUUCACAUUAAUUUGCCUAAGUAUAUAUUUCAUGUUUACCACCAAAGAUAUGACUAUUCUUACUGUUGAUGAUUUGACAACCGGACUGUAAAUCAGAUUAUACUCAAUAUCUUUGUGUUGUUUAAAACCUUGAGCUACUAAUCUAGCUUUAUAUCACUUUGAAGUACCAUCUGUUUUCCUUUUAAUUUUAAACACCUAUUCAGUUCAUAUAAUAUUUAGUUUUCCUGAAUCAGGUACUAAUUCUCAAGUGUUAUCGUCGAUAAGAGCUUUGUAUCCAUCAUCCAUUGCUUUUUUCCAUUUUAAAAUGGAAAGUGCUAUUUUAAAUUUUUUUAGGAAUUAAUUCUUUGUUUUCAAUAACUCCAGCAAUAAGACCUUUAGGCAAAUUCACAUCAUAAAUGUUGUAUUUAGUUGGAAGAUUUCUUAUCCUUGAACCUAUUCUUAGUACUGUAUGAUUUUGAAAUUCUUGUACAGUAUUGGAUGCUACUGUAGGAGAAAUCGUAGGAGUAGACGUAUGAUCAGAAGCCGAACUAAUUGUUUUGGAUACUAGAGGUUCUUCAGUGUUAACAUCAUGAUGUGAAGAUAUCGAUGGGUUAGAGUCAGAAUUUAACUCUUUUUCCAAAUUUGGAUCAUUUGAUGCAGGUUCAGAUGAGUGUGAGUCAGGAGUUAAAGAUGAUGAAUUCUGAUUUGUAUCAGAUAAUGGAUCUGAAUCUGUUGAUACCGGAUUUUCAGAAACAUGCAAAUGGGUUGUUUCUGAAAAUUUUAGACUUGAAUCAGAGAUGUUGAGCUUAUGUAUGCUCUCAUUAUCCUUCAGAGGUAGAACUAGUUCUUUUUUUUGUUUUAGGAUUCUGUGAAUGUAUAUCUAACUUAUAGUCUUUAAAGGGCCGGAAAUACAUCUUCAUAAAAUUUUACAUUUCUGGAUAUUAAUUUUUUUGAAUCGCAUAACCUAAGACACUACUUGUAUGCCUUAUGAGAAGGUGAAUAUCCUAAACAACAACAAUAAGAUGAUGUUGGUUUAAAUUUUUUUCUUGCUUGUUUUGGAACAAGUGGAAAGAAAAGUGAGCCAAACACCCUAAAGAAACUAAUGUCUGGAUUCUUCUUGUAUAGAGAAGAAUACGGUGAAGAAAAUUUUAAAAUUUUCGUAGGUAACCUAUUCAUGGAAUAAACUGCAGUAGAGCAAGCCUCUACCCAAUAUUUUUGGGGAAUAUCAGAUUGAAUCAUGAAACACCUAGUGGUAGAGAUAAUAUAUCCAUGCUUCCUUUCCACCCGUCCAUUUUAUUCUGGUGUAUAGGGACUAGAGAAUCUCUGUAUUAUUCCUGAUUUUUUACAAUGAUUAGUAAAAUAUUUAUUUUGAAAUUCACUACUAUAAUCUGAUUGAAUAGUCUUAAUAGGCAUAUCUAAUGAUUUCUCAAUCAUAAUUUGAAUUUUUUUAAAAGUAUCAAAUACUUGAUCUUUGGAUAUUAGAGGGAAAAAUCAUGAGAAUUCAUCUACUAUCAGAAGAUAAUAUUUGAAUCCAUGUAUUGAUGGGUUUGGGGAAGGCCCCCAAACAUCCAUGUGUAGAAUCUCAAGUGGAGUAUUACUAUAACUACUUUUAGAAGAAAAAGGUUUCGUCUUUAGUUUACCUAGAGGGCAAAUUAAACAUUUGUCACAAACAUUUGAACAAUACAAAUCAUUUAGUUUUAAUAAUUUUGAUAGAAUUAAUAAGGAAGGAUGUCCAAAUCUCCUAUGCCAAAGUUCUUUGGGAUAGCUAUGUUUAGAAACAGAUGCUAAUGAUGAAUUAAGAAAUUUAUUAGAAGCAUUGAGAUGGUAAUUAAGUCCACCUGAACUACUUCCAUGAAUCAAUCUAGCAUCGCUAGUAUUAUCAACUAUUUUAAAACUAUUACCAUUCAAAUUAAAAGUGCAAUUUAAAUCAUUAGACAUAGCUGAUGAUCGAGGGUGAAACCCGAUCAGUACUCCAAGACGCUCCAGCAAGCGCCAAGCGGGGAACUCCGCGGGAAAUCGGACUGGAACUCUAGUGCGCAGAGCUCUGCUUUGCUAGGACUUCUCUACUCCAAAUGACCUGCCUUCAAUGAGUGGGGGCUGCCUCCUAUUUAUAGGGAUUCUUAUGGGGUUAAUCUGGUCAUUUUGGCAGUAACCGCCUAACUACCUAACUGAUCAGAUCGGGGCCCAAGGUCGACUUUCUGGAGAUCAACUUUCUUGGGAUCCGACUUUCCUGGGGAUCGACUUUGUUCAGAAAUCGAUCCCAGGGAAGUCGAUCCUUGGAAAAGUCGAUCUUCCUAGGAUUCGACUUGGGACCUCCCCAAUCCUGGAAUAGGUACCUCAACUCAUCUUAGGCUAUCCGAACUUCUAGUUGUUGGUAAGUUGUACCCGGGUUCGGGACACUGUAUCACUAGUACUCCCCCCUCCUCUACGUAUUAGAUAUCUUGGGAUACAUCUUUUAGUACUAUGGUUUGUGUGUUGGACCCUGUACUAUCAAUAGCUUAAAUGGAAAGCAAAUUCAUUUUAAGUUGAGGUACACAAAGUGUGUUCCUUAAAUUCAGAACUCCACGUUCUGAAUUUAAUUUGGCUGUGCCAAUGUGAGAAAUAGAUAAGCCAAGCCCAUUUUCUAUAAUAAUUUUAUUUUUACCUGAGUACUCCUGUGUGUCAGAUAAAGCUUCCAAAUCAAGAGUCGUAUGAUUUGAAGCACCAGAAUCAAGAAGCCAAUGACCUUCAGAUGGCUCUUUAGAAGCUUCUAUAGCCGCACACGCUUUUAGUCCUUUUCUGCAAGUCUUGGCUGAAUGACCAGUCUUAUCACAUAAUUGACACACUAUAAAAUUUGAAGACUUAGGAGUUCUUUUCCAACGGUUAUUUUUCUGCGAUUUAGAAUCAUUUCUGCGUUUAUCUUGAGUAUAGAACUUCUUUGACUUAGCAGCAAAACCAGAAGGUUGAGGUAUGUCAUCUGAGUAUUUUUUCAGAUAUAGGUCUUCCUUGACGAUCAGGUGAAGAAAUUCUUCAAAAAAUAUCUUUGGUUGAGAAUGAAUGGAACACAUGAAUGAUAUCGAUACUCUUUGCCAAAACCAUCAUCAACAAAAUCAAUCAUGUCUCGAUCAGAGACUUUAUCUCCAGCAGCGGAAAGACUAUCUGCCAGAGCCCUAACUUGAAUCACAAACUCGUUUAUAGACUGUUCUUCAGUUUUCUUCAGAUGUCUCGACUUAUCCCGUAUACUCUGAGUAUGAAUCAUCAAACUUGGUGAGAGAUGCAUUUCUAGUUUGUUCCAACAAUCAUAUGUUGUUUUAUGACCCAUCACCAAGGAAUAUAUUGGAGCAGCAACUGACAAAUGAAUCCAGCUAAGAAUGAGCCAAUUCUUCUAUAGCCAAGUUUGGUGAUAAGAAAUCGUUGUCCCAUCACUUUUUCUUUCUGGUGGAAUAACCUGAUUUGCACGUAUGAUGUCCGAUACCCGAUGUAUUAUGAAAAGAUUCUCCAUUUAUUGUUUCCAGAACAUAUGUGUCUCCCUUCUCAAGAGGAGCCCGGAUGAAGUGUGAAACCUGACAUUUGUAAAUGUCAGGAAUCAAUAAGGCGGUAAUACCAUCAAUAGAGGAAGAGGAAGAAGUGUCCCUUUCUACCAUUCGAUGCACUCAAGUUUUAACGGUAAAGAAAAAAUAUAAUUAGCACAAAACCUUGAACUGCACAAAAAAUACAGUCCUUGUGUCACAAACAAAGUGACAAUCAACACCUUGCAAACAAGGUAAUUUCAAUCGACAACAAUAAACGAUUGAAAUAAGAGAGAGAGAAAAAUAAUCACCUUAGAAUGCACAAUGAAAAAGAAUCAAUUAAGUUGACCAGCAGUCUCUGAUACCAUAUUCAGGUUGAUUAAAUUAUAAUUGAAAUCCAAAUGAAUGAUUAAUUUCAUUAACUUCAAAAGAGGAUAUAGUAAGAGUAUUUAAAAGAGAAAUACAAACACUCAACUCUUUAACGAAACAAAAUGUUUUUAACUAGACUAACUACUUUCUAAUAAACCAAUCAAUGUUUAAACCAUUGUAGCAAUUGCUCUAAGUGAGCUCAAUUCCUAAUUAGUAGAGUAAUGAAUCUCAUAACAGGAUGUACCUUGUAAUAAUUAUAAUUGAUUUUCUAAACUUUCUAUAAUAUAUGCAGCUUUUGUUUUAAUUCCGAGUGUAGAUGAGAUUGUAUGUUUUCUUCUUCUUCUUCUUCUUCUUCUUCUUCCUUUUCUCCUUUCCUUGCCAUGUCUUCUCCGAUGUCUACAUUUGUUUCUUCUCUCGCCGAGGUCCUCAAGAGUAGCACCGAGGUAUCGACGAUUGCUUUUCUUGCAGGAUCGCCGACAACAGUUACGUACUACUGCUACUGUAUUUUCGUCGACUAGGAGAAGCAUGGAUAUCCAAGGGACUGGUAUGAUUGACGAUAUGAUUUCACUUCUAUUUUCUUCGUCGCCGAUGGCUACCUUUACUGCUUCGACAUCCCCUCGGUGAGGUCUCUUAUGGAGGACCUGAUCUCAUCAUCGCCGAUAUCAGAUAAAACACGGAGAUUACUCGUCUAAAGGUUUUGGCAAUACCCUUUUGUAAUCUUUCCAAGGCUACAACUUUUACGAACCUGAGUCUUUACAGGAAGACUCACACCUAAGAGUUAAUAAAUAACUCUAUAAAACCUCUCAAGGUUUUAUGGGUAAGCUAUUCACCUUAGAGUAUUCAAGAAAUUCUUAAGAAUCUCUGUAAGCUUUCGAAAGCUACAAUCGCUUACGAACCGCAAUAACCUUUUCAAGACUACAAUCAUUUACGAACCUCUGUAAUUUUUUCAAGACUACAAUCAUAUACGAAUCUCUAAAAUUUUAUAGUAAACUUGCAACUAAGAGUUUUUCUGAUAACAUUAUAAAAUCAACCUUGAGCUUUUUGAUUCAACUCAAAAACCGUCCCUCACACAAGAAGGUGAUAGAGAAAUGGAAAUCUAAAAAUAAAUGUCACUUCUUACUUACUUGGAGACUUAGAAGAUUAGAAGAAGAAAUGAGAGCUUUUUGAGCUUUAGAGAACUUGAGUACUUGAGGAGUUUGAAGAGCUUUGGAAAUUUGAGAGAUUUUGAAGGAUUUGAAUUUCAAGUGAAAGAAUGAACUCUAGAAUGAUUUCACCCCAUAUCAUCAAUUGUGUAAUUAGGGAUAAUUACUCUUUAUUAUCAAAAUAUAAUAUGCAUUGCAAUCUUGAUUCUAUAUAGUUUUUGGUGGUGAGGAUUGAACAAGAGGUAUAGUAGGAAACAAUGGUUGGUCUAAGCAUAAUCCUCGAGCACUUUCGUCAACAUUAAGAUCAGGAGAUUCCUUGUCAAUAUUAAAUUCACCAAGAAUAUCAAAUGUUGGAGAAUCAAAUGAUUGAGUUAUCGAUUUCGUAGGUAAGAUAUCCUUACCUUCGUUCACCGGAAAACUAUCAACGGAUUCAAAAUAGUUGUGCUUUUAGACGGUCAUAUCUAACCUAGUAACGGAAUCAUUUGAACAAACUCUACACUUGCACUUCCAGAAAGAGGUUGAAUGAACUGUUUCAUUAUUUCUUCAAACAAGUAUACAAGAACCAUUUUAUGACAGUCCCAUACAAUAUCGAAUAUCUUUCAGUCCAACAAUUUGUAACUUAUCUUUAAUUUGAAAACUAUAGUCCCCAACAUAACGACCGACUAAAUAGUCAAGGUGAUAGACAUUUACAAUUUGAUCUAAAUUCCUAGAAAACUGCUCAAAAUUUAGAGUUUUUAUAGUCGUAAAAAAUUCUUCAGGAAGAUUAUCUUUAACCUCGAGGAAAGCAUAUUGAUAUACUCAGAGUAGCAGAAUUUGUUCUGAACCAACUAUAUUAAUCUCGAUCGUCUAUUUUUCUCGAGAUAUGAUAAUGGUCUGACCUCGAGAUACGAUCCGCAAAAGACAAAAAAACGGAAAAACGAAGGAUGUCUUAUGAAUGAUAGAUAUGUCAAUAUCUCACGAGAUAUCUCAUUUUGAUUAUCUCAGUUGCCUAAAUAGAAAGAGUUAUUAUUAGAAAAUCUAGUACUUAAAAAUCAAUUUUGUAACAUAUCAACGAUUUUUCGAUUUGGACAAUAAUUUUUUAUUUUUGUGUAGAAGAAUUUUUUAAAUAAAAUCUAUUAUAUCUUUUUUUUCGAAAUAUUUCCUUAUUGUAUUCAUGUAUAUACGUACAUUUCCUAAUAGUUCUUCUUGUGUAACCCUAACACGCCAUUACCAACGUUAUCAUUUUUAUUGUUGUCUAAUGUAUGUAAAUAUGAAAUUAUUUAGUUGAACACUUAACACAUAAAACUAGAAUUAUCAUAAUAAUAUAUAUUUUAUCGAAAUUACAUCAUGAAAAUCAGUGAAGGUAAAAUGAAAUAUCGAUCCAUAUAUUUUGCCAUACAUAAUAUAUAAGUUUUCUAUGAUAUUAUUAGUGUUUUUUUGGUUUAGAUUCUGUGAUAGACCCAUUACCGAUGAUCACAGAUCCAACAGCGUUAAGAGCAGAUCCACCACCAAUAUCAGAACUAGAUCCAAUUUUGCUGUUAUCUCCAACCACAGCACCACCUCCACCGAGUAUGCCUCCACCACCACCAACCUUACCAUGGUCAGUUGCAACACCACCACCGUUACCAUUGAUCUCAUUAUUAUUAGUCACCUCAUCACUACUACCAUUUGACCCAUCAACCAUGGUAGCCUGUGCUAAAUUAUUUAAAAGCAAUGCAAAUGCAAACACAAACACUGAGAAAAGUAGAACACGUUGAGAGCUUGAAUCUGCCAUGUUUUAGAAUGUAUGAAAGAGGUUAGAAAAUUGAGUUUUGGAAGGUGUUUCUAUCCAUUGCCCAUUCUUGCUAUUAUAUAGGGAAUUUGCUACCCAUUGUUACAGAGAAUUGUAUUGAUGUCUGUGUGACUUUUAAUUAGUUGGUUUGCCUAGUGUGGCCGGUAAGUAGUUAUUGAUCAUAUUAUGUGAGUUUUGACAUUUUUUUAAGCAAUUCAAUUGCGAUUUAUGAUUAAAUAAAUAAAUUCUAAUGUCUAAUCCUCUAGAUUAGAAAAUUCAAAACCAACAUUAAAUUGAAAAUUAAGUGACAUAAAACCUCAUGUGUGACUAACAACUUAGUUUCUAUUGAUUGAUGCUUUUUUGGAAUUCAAUUUGUCAAUAUUAUUUAAUACUAUACAAAGAAAAAUGCUGAGCCUAACAAAACCUAACUAGGUCAUAUUAUUCUUAAUUCACAAAUCAGAAAUCUUAUGCUUUAAUUUUGGGAAAUUUAGUUUGAAAACAUACAAUAAGUUUGGCGAUCGCUUUCAUGUGUCAGAGGUUUUCACUACUUGACAUAUAAAUCAGACAAUUACAAAUGUGGAAAUGAAUUAAUUGUAUAGGUAAAAAUAGUCAGAUUCAGAUGAGAUAUGUAAUUGAUGAUACCCUCCUUGGUCCACUGGAGUGGCCCAACAGGAAUAUCAACGGACCGGUUUGUGACUGUCUCUGAAAAUCAAGAAUCCUGUAGUGAUAGUUUACAUUGCGAGUUCUAUUAGAACUACUGGUUUGAGUCCUCCAUAAGUGAGUGAGAAAGGAGUUUCUCCCGUGGUUUUUCUCUCUCUUGUAGUACAGUAUUUUCACAAGAUUUUAGGUAGCAAUUCUGUAAAUUUCUUUAUGCCUUUUCGACCUCUCUUUUUUAUCUCUUAGACUAUCAUCUUUCUGUUUUUCGACCCUUUUUUUUAUCUCUUCGACUAACGCCUUAUUUGUAACUUUGACCUAUCCAUUGUCUUGAGGUCGGUAUACUGAUACAAAGUGUACGUUGAUGUUAUAGCUUUUGCAUAAUAUGAUGAAACUUUUGCCAGUGAAUUGCGUUCUUUUUUUACAGUGAUAAUAUGUCUAGUUACCUCAAACUGAAAGAGGAUAUUUCACAUCACGAAUUUGGCGGUCGCAUCUUGCAAGAUUCCAGCCAUCGCUGUCGCCUUUACCCAUUUGGUGGUGAAAUAAUCUACUACACAAAUAUGAACUUUGUCUAUCCUAUUGAUUGUAGAAAUGGUCUCAUAAUAUCUAAUCCCCAUCUGUCAAAUAGUAGUAGACUUUCGAUCGACAUUUAUGUACGAAGUCUGUUGCCUCUUUCUUUAGUAUUGACCAAUAAUACCCUUGAUAUAAUAUCUUCAAUGCUAGGGAUUUUCCUCCUUGUAUCUCGUAUGCCCCUUCAUGCACUACUUUGAUUACUUCCUCUAUCUCGGGCUUUGCUAAGUAUCAGAGUAGGGGUCCACUUAAUGAUCGCUAGUACAAUAUGUCCCUUAUUUCACAGUAUAUGGCUGCCUUCUUCUUCAAGCCAUAUGCAUCAUUGUUAUCAUUUUGUAAUAACCUAUGCAUUUGGUUUUUCAUUAAAUAAUGGUUGGUCCUACCCAUGAGACAACAUAGAAGAAGAUCAACAACCUCGAAAUCAAGCGGGAAGCUUAACAGGAAGUUAAGAUAUAUAGAUCAGCAACUCGUCAGAAAUUUAGAAAAAGAACCUUGCAGGAUAGACCUAUAGAGAGGAGGAAAUCUGUGACUGAGUAAGGGAGUGAAGAAUUAGUCUGAGAAUAGUGAUUGAUGACCCCAUCAUCAAAUUUCUUCUCUUACUGCUAUAUCUUUUGGUAAUCUUUAUGAUUUUUGAUGCUUUUAAUAUCACUUUUACUUUCAAUGCAUCGAUCAUAUUAUAUAUUUGUUUAUCAAAGUUACAUCAUCAAAAUCACUGAAGGUAAAUACAUAAACAAUAUAUUUAGUCAUACAGAUUGUGUCUAGUAUUUGGGAUAUUAUUUUCAUAUAUUUAAUAUUUAAUAUGAAGAUCAAGUUUCACCAUUGAUUUUUCCAUCGCCGAUGAUCACAGACCCAUUACUCUGAAUUGUAGAUCCACCACCAACUACAACAUGAUCUCCAAUGGUGCUAUUACUUCCAACCACACCACCACCACCACCGGCAAUUCCACCACCACCACCGACUGUGGAAUUACCAGUUGCGGUACCACCACCACCUCCUGUCGUUGUGGCCUGUGCAAAAUUAUUUAGCAGCAAUGAUGCAAACAAAAACACUGAGAAAAGCAAAACACGUUGAGAGCUUGAAUUUGCCAUGUGUUCAGAAGGUAUGAAAGAGUUUGGCAAAUUGAUUAAUGAUCG
Molecule: long non-coding RNA, 25793 nt
Filed under: Zostera marina
Lineage: Eukaryota; Viridiplantae; Streptophyta; Magnoliopsida; Alismatales; Zosteraceae
Description: long non-coding RNA (ZMAR_LNC002215)
Source: RNAcentral